UGGCUCAGAUUGAACGCUGGCGGCAGGCCUAACACAUGCAAGUCGAGCGGAAACGAUGGAGCUUGCUCCAGGCGUCGAGCGGCGGACGGGUGAGUAAUGCAUAGGAAUCUGCCCGGUAGUGGGGGAUAACCUGGGGAAACCCAGGCUAAUACCGCAUACGUCCUACGGGAGAAAGCAGGGGAUCUUCGGACCUUGCGCUAUCGGAUGAGCCUAUGUCGGAUUAGCUUGUUGGUGAGGUAAUGGCUCACCAAGGCGACGAUCCGUAGCUGGUCUGAGAGGAUGAUCAGCCACAUCGGGACUGAGACACGGCCCGAACUCCUACGGGAGGCAGCAGUGGGGAAUAUUGGACAAUGGGCGAAAGCCUGAUCCAGCCAUGCCGCGUGUGUGAAGAAGGCUUUCGGGUUGUAAAGCACUUUCAGUGAGGAAGAGAGCCUUGGGGCUAAUACCCCCGAGGAAGGACAUCACUCACAGAAGAAGC
RNAcentral lists this ribosomal RNA (478 nucleotides) under Halomonas sp. SK6C5. RNAcentral's name for it is "bacterial SSU rRNA". It matches the Rfam family "Bacterial small subunit ribosomal RNA", at positions 20 to 491 of the family's 1533-position model. Lineage: Bacteria; Pseudomonadati; Pseudomonadota; Gammaproteobacteria; Oceanospirillales; Halomonadaceae. The record is from RNAcentral.